UAAAACAAUCAUGCCAUUUGUUUCCCUGUAUCAGAAAUUUGUCCGUGAUAAAAAAAAAAAAAAAAAAAGAAGGUUGCUAAAAUGUAAUUUGCAACUGUGGUGUGACCUACAUAUGAGAUCUGUUGGACACGAAUAUAAGAGCAUAACAGCUGAUUAUCCAGAUUAAUCUUGCAACAAGGGAAAUAGCCAAAUAAUGCAAGUUAUUUUAAACAUUGUAU
This is a non-coding RNA of Pelobates cultripes (western spadefoot toad), 218 nucleotides long. The record is from the annotation of a GenBank genome assembly. NCBI's taxonomy places the organism in Eukaryota, Metazoa, Chordata, Amphibia, Anura, Pelobatidae.